Molecule: ribosomal RNA, 844 nt
Filed under: Brotia herculea
Lineage: Eukaryota; Metazoa; Mollusca; Gastropoda; Pachychilidae
Description: partial 16S ribosomal RNA
Rfam family: Archaeal large subunit ribosomal RNA (bases 348-508)
Source: RNAcentral
AAAUGAACCAAGUUUAAUUAAACUAUAAUUUAGUAAAUUGUUUCAUAUUUUAGUUUAUUAAGGAUAAGCUUAAUAAAAAUAGGAAAAAUAUAUUGAACUAAAUGAGUUAUGUAGGCUUGAAAUUGGCUAUCAUAGUAGAGUUUGUUAUAAAAUAAUUUAGAGAGUUAGGAAAAUUUUUAUAUUUACUUUCCUUGUAUUAUAAAGGUAAUAAGAAGAAUUGUUAGGUCUAAUUUAUGUAUGCUAAGAUGAGUAUUUUAGAGUUUUUAAAAAGAUAGAAGUAAUUAAAGAUAUCUAUAACAAUGGUUAUUUUAAAAAUAAAAUAAAAAAAAGGAACUCGGCAAAUAUUAGCUCCGCCUGUUUACCAAAAACAUGGCUCUUUGUUAGUUUUAUAUAAGGAGUCAAACCUGCCCAGUGAGAAUUUUUAACGGCCGCGGUACCCUGACCGUGCAAAGGUAGCAUAAUCAUUUGCCUUAUAAUUGAAGGCUUGUAUGAAUGGUUUAACGAGAGCAUUGCUGUCUCUUUUUUAGUAAAUAGAAUUUGACUUUUAGGUGAAGAGGCCUAAAUAUAAUUGAAAGACAAGAAGACCCUAUCGAGCUUAAAAGUUGGAUUAGAAAUAAUUAUAAGUUUAAAUUUACUACUAAUUUAUUUUUUGAUUGGGGCGAUCAAGGAACAAUAAAAGCUUCCUUUAUUUAUUUUAACUUUUAGGUGUUGAUCCAGUUGAAGCUGAUUAAAAGAAUUAGUUACCGUAGGGAUAACAGCAUAAUCUCUCUUGAGAGAUCUAAUCGAAAGAGGGGGUUGUGACCUCGAUGUUGGACUAGAAUAUCCUAAAGGCGCAGAAGUCUUG